Molecule: ribosomal RNA, 273 nt
Filed under: Triticum aestivum (bread wheat)
Lineage: Eukaryota; Viridiplantae; Streptophyta; Magnoliopsida; Poales; Poaceae
Description: partial small subunit ribosomal RNA
Source: RNAcentral
AUGUCCCUGGCCGCCUUCGAGCACUUCUCUGCCAUCCUCGGCUCUGCGCCUACGCGCGCCCACUCCUUGCGGCUUGAUCUCAUCGACCCUAGGCACUUUGAUCUGUCGGAGCUCGAGGUUCCUUUCACGGAGCAGGAAAUCUGGGCUGCGAUCAAGCACCUUCCAUCUGGCAAGGUGCCCGACCCGAUGGCUUUACCUCCGAGUUUCUCCGCGCCUGCUGGCCUAUCAUCAAGGCUGACAUUUGUACUGCGUUCGACAAGCUCUUCAACAUGA